AGCGUAGGCGGCGAAGCAAGUCAGAUGUGAAAGCCCGGGGCUCAACCCCGGGACUGCAUUUGAAACUGUUUUGCUAGAGUAUCGGAGAGGUAAGUGGAAUUCCUAGUGUAGCGGUGAAAUGCGUAGAUAUUAGGAGGAACACCAGUGGCGAAGGCGGCUUACUGGACGAUAACUGACGCUGAGGCUCGAAAGCGUGGGGAGCAAACAG
This 208-nucleotide ribosomal RNA is filed under the name uncultured Eubacteriales bacterium. RNAcentral's name for it is "uncultured Clostridiales bacterium partial 16S ribosomal RNA". It matches the Rfam family "Bacterial small subunit ribosomal RNA", at positions 568 to 775 of the family's 1533-position model. Lineage: Bacteria; Bacillati; Bacillota; Clostridia; Eubacteriales. The record is from RNAcentral.